This 63-nucleotide non-coding RNA is filed under the name unclassified sequences. RNAcentral's name for it is "RAGATH-18 RNA". It matches the Rfam family "RAGATH-18 RNA". Rfam says of the family: Actinobacteria, Firmicutes, Fusobacteria, Thermotogae (1 example). Nearby to self-cleaving ribozyme genes The record is from Rfam by way of RNAcentral.
CCUUUGGAGUGUACAAGAACUUGUUAGUAGAUUUAAUCGAAAGCAUACACGAUGAAUAAGGAA